Salarias fasciatus (jewelled blenny) is the source of this 157-nucleotide long non-coding RNA. RefSeq lists it as uncharacterized. The record is from RefSeq and is a predicted model, not a curated record. Lineage: Eukaryota; Metazoa; Chordata; Actinopteri; Blenniiformes; Blenniidae. The transcript is spliced from 2 exons.
UGCUUUGAAUCACUCCAAAGUCAUGUUGCUUUCCCUCUUUGUGCUUCUGUCUCUCAUUAGAGGACUAACAGCUGCAGACACAAUCUCUCCUGACCGACAAGAAGUCAGUGGAAGAGAAGGACAAUCUGUCACACUCUCAUGUAGCUAUCAGACAGAU